CUCGGGGAUUGUACACACCGCCCGUCAAGUCACGAAAGUCGGCAACACCCGAAGUCAGUGGCCCAACCCUUUUAGGGAGGGAGCUGCCGAAGGUGGGGUCGGUGAUUGGGACU
Molecule: ribosomal RNA, 113 nt
Filed under: uncultured bacterium
Lineage: Bacteria
Description: partial 16S ribosomal RNA
Rfam family: Bacterial small subunit ribosomal RNA
Source: RNAcentral